AAUUCGAUUAGAGUUUGAUCCUGGCUCAGAUUCGAUAUCGCUGGCGGCAUGCCUUACACAUGCAAGUCGAACGGCAGCACGGGAGCUUGCUCCUGGUGGCGAGUGGCGAACGGGUGAGUAAUACAUCGGAACGUACCCAGGAGUGGGGGAUAACGUAGCGAAAGUUACGCUAAUACCGCAUAUUCUGUGAGCAGGAAAGCGGGGGAUCGCAAGACCUCGCGCUCUUGGAGCGGCCGAUGUCGGAUUAGCUAGUUGGUGAGGUAAAAGCUCACCAAGGCGACGAUCCGUAGCAGGUCUGAGAGGAUGAUCUGCCACACUGGGACUGAGACACGGCCCAGACUCCUACGGGAGGCAGCAGUGGGGAAUUUUGGACAAUGGGGGCAACCCUGAUCCAGCCAUGCCGCGUGAGUGAAGAAGGCCUUCGGGUUGUAAAGCUCUUUCGGCGGGGAAGAAAUGGCAACGGCUAAUAUCCGUUGUUGAUGACGGUACCCGCAUAAGAAGCACCGGCUAACUACGUGCCAGCAGCCGCGGUAAUACGUAGGGUGCGAGCGUUAAUCGGAAUUACUGGGCGUAAAGCGUGCGCAGGCGGUUUCGUAAGACAGACGUGAAAUCCCCGGGCUCAACCUGGGAACUGCGUUUGUGACUGCGAGGCUAGAGUACGGCAGAGGGGGGUAGAAUUCCACGUGUAGCAGUGAAAUGCGUAGAGAUGUGGAGGAAUACCGAUGGCGAAGGCCGCCCCUGGGUUAGUACUGAC
Molecule: ribosomal RNA, 754 nt
Filed under: uncultured bacterium
Lineage: Bacteria
Description: bacterial SSU rRNA
Rfam family: Bacterial small subunit ribosomal RNA
Source: RNAcentral